Pantherophis guttatus is the source of this 7375-nucleotide non-coding RNA. NCBI's taxonomy places the organism in Eukaryota, Metazoa, Chordata, Lepidosauria, Squamata, Colubridae. The record is from RefSeq and is a predicted model, not a curated record.
ACCACGGGGCUUCAAAGGGCCGCCCUACAGAUGAUCAGUGUUAAUAGAAAACAAAUGAGUAUACCGGUGCCUGCAAAAAUACAUGAGUAGAUCAGUGCCUGCAAAAAUACAUGAGUAGACCAGUGCCUGCAAAACUACAUGAGUAGAUCAGUGCCUGCAAAAUACAUGAGUAGAUCAGUGCCUGCAAAAAUAAAUGGGUAGACCAGUGCCUGCAAAAAUUAAUGGGUAGAUUGGUACAGCCUGGUAGACCAGUACCUCUGCUAAAUCUGAAAUAAUUAUCACAUGACAAUCAAGCCACGCCCAUAAAAUAAGCCACGCCCACAGAACCGGUAGUAAAAAAAUUUAGAACUCACCCCAGGCGCACACGCAUGUGCAUAUAUUACAAUAUUCUUCCAAAAAAAACCCCCAAAACUGGACAUAACCAAACCAUAUUUGUUAAUAUACUCAUUUUUCUUAUCACACCAUUACAGAAAAUCUAUCAUCCAUCCGUUCUGAUUAUUCUUUAAAGAGUCCAAUAAGUAUAAAAUUCUUUGAUAGAUUAACUUCAGUUUCAACUCCAAAGAAACAAAGAACAUUGUUUUGAAAAACUUGAGAUUCUUUUGUAGUCAUUAUUGGAUGUAGUAACUCUUUAUUCCAUAAAUUAUAUUCAUAAUUUCAACUUUUACAAUAUUUUUCAAUUUUGGAUAUAGUUUCAAAAUUAAUUUAUUUUAGAAACAAACUCAGUCUAAAAUAAGUCUGGCUUCUUUCAGAUAGUUAAAAUGCCUAACCCAUAUUUAAAUCAUUCUUAAAUUAAUUAUCUUGCCAUUUAUAUGUAUUGGGCAGAGAGAAUUAUGUCUCUAGUUAUUGAAAAUCCUCAAACAUCAGUACAAACUGAUUGACAUAAAGUAGCUAUUCAGACUUCUGAUGAGCAACAUGGAAAGCCAGAAGUCCUGCUGAAACAGGACAGUAUUUUAGCAGAAAUCAGUGGCUGGAUACUGGAUCCUAGACAGCAAAAUCUCUCUGCAGAAAGGAGAGAUUGAAAUAGCCCAUGCACCCUCCAGAUGGCCAUUUCUUGUGAAACCUCAAGACAAUGAGGUUUUGCAGUUAUAAGCCAACUGCAAAACCUCAAUUUCUCACAAGGAAUGGACAUCUGGAGUAUGCAUAAGUCAGGUGGCUGGGAGUUGAGCGAUACUAUCUAAGCUCACAAUCAUAACUCGGCCUUUUAUAAACAAAAAGUUUGACCACAGACAUUUCUUAAUCAUUUUUGAAUUAUUAUUAUUGCUUUGGAAAUAUUAAGAACCUUCAGAAUUGCAAGUUUGUAUUGCAUUCAUUGGGUUAGUCUCCUCCUUAGAGAAGUUUUAAACAUGAUAUUAAGGCUCUGGAAAUAUUUCUUUUUUAAUAAAUAGCAAAAGGCUGUUUAGAAUGUUGAUUUUAGAAAGUUAAAAACAGACUAAGGGUUCAGAUGGAUUUGGAAUUUAGAUAUAAAAUUAAUUAUACAAAUCCUUCCUUUAGGAAAGUGUGGUUGUUUGGGUUCUUUAGAAAGAACUAGAAGAAAAUACAAUUAAAGGAGAAUACUUAAAUUUGACUUGUUAACUAAUAAUGGAGCAAAAUAUUUUAACAAUGGAUGUUUCGAAGGCUAUUGUAAUAGAAUGUGUGAAUGAGCUGGUGAAUGCCUAGGAAAAGAAAUGCUGCCUAGGAAGAAAUCAGACAGGAAAUGCAAAAAUCUCCAGUGAUUUAAAAGCCAGAGAAAGAAACUUAGGAAGGACCUGCCAUAAUGGAUGAAGCAGUUAAAAGUGGCAAUGGGAAGUUCAUACUUUCAUAGUUGCAGAUUCUGUUAAUGUAGCCUUAAAGUAGACUUAGUUCAUUUAGUAUGUUUCCUGAUUGGUUUAUUUGGGAGGACUAACAGAUAUUUUUGACCAAUGGACUCAGAAAUUAAUUUUAAGAAUAUGUGAUACAAGACAUGAUGGUAUCCAUCCACAUCAGAUAGAUGGUGUGUUAAUGAAGUUACAGAAAAAGAACAAGCUGAGCUGGGUAAGAUUGAAAUUGAUUGGAAUGUGGAUUUAAAUAUAAGAAUUUUUAAGAAUGAGGUGAAAAAGUGAUAUACUGAAAUGAAAUCAAUUGAUAUUUUAACAUUUAAAGAGGACAUACAAAUAUCAAACCAGCAAUUUAUUUGGAUAAUAUUUUCUUACCAGACCUUCAGAAGAAAUCUUUUAAAGUCUUGAAAUAUUUUCUGAAAAAGGACAAAAAAAUGAGAAUAAAGCAAGUUCUAAGAUGGUAUUUGAAGGGAAUAAAAGUUAUGAUUGUUAAAAGUGCAGGGAAAGAAUUUAGAGUUAUCUUAUUUGAUCAAGAUUAAAAUACAUAUUUACUUAUUUCUGGUAAUCCUUAAGGAACUAACUUUAGGGCCUGGCCUAACUUUCUCCCUCUUUUUAAACAUUUUUAAUAUUUUUUUUUAAAAAAUAGUAUUUUUAAUAGUCAAAAGUUUAAAUUUGUUUUAAAUUGAUUGGGUUUUAAAUUUGUCUGGGCCAAAUUAUUUAAUUUGAUUUUAUCUCUGCUUUUUAAAUUUUGUAUGUAUGUAUUUUAUUGUUGGCUGUUCACCACCCUGAGUCCUUUGGGAGUAGGGCGGUAUAUAAAUCAAAUAAAAAGAAAAAAAAGAAAAGAAACUAGUGCUGGUAAAGAAUGAAGAGUGUUUGGGAUUUUGUUUAUAGUUAAGAAAUGAGACAUGGGAUAAAGAGAGUAUUUGCUGUAUUUUAAGAAAUGGGGAUAAAUUACUAAAAUUGUUUAUACUUGUGAUGAACAUGCUUUUUUCCUUUCUACACUUUUUAUUUUUUCUUAUUAUUCUUAUAUUUAUUUUUUCUCAUUGUAAUUUUUUUCUAAAAAAUAUUACAAGAAAAGGUUUAAGGUAACUUAUUCUAUACUCUGCCCAUACUUUUUCAUAGAACAUUUUCCCUGUUUUAAAAGGAGAGGUUUUCGAUAAAGUUAAAUGUUCAAGAGAUUCAGCAUUAAGAUCGACUCUACAUUACAGUAAAGCCCAAGAUGUCUAGCUUCAUUAAAUCAAUAAAUUAAAGAACUCUGGUCACAUCCAUGAAAUGUCAAGUAUACUACCAAGCUGUACUCAAGCUACAACCGGUCGCUUAAUAACUCCCCAAAGCUACUUAUGACCCAUUUUCAAAGUUACAAAACACACACACCUUGCACUUACAUGAUCACAUUUUGGGUUCUUGCAAUUGGCCUACCUUUAUGGCUAUUUGCUGCAUUCUAUGGUCAUGUGACUGAAAAUUAUAGCCUUUUUUGCGGAUUUCUGGCAUUUACAUCUGGUUUCUGGCAACAAAUGUACAUUGGGGAAAAAUGAUUCAUUUAACAAUUGCAACAUUUGCUUCAUGACCAUGUCUUCUCCUCUCCGCUUCCCAUUUCAUCCUAAUUUAUUCUAGCCACUCUAUGCUCCUGAAAGCUUAGGCUCUUUAAUAAAAUUUGAUAAUUGGAAAAGGUGCUACCAGACUCGUGGGAUAUGUGUGUAUGAUUAUUUUUUUAUGAAGGACAAAGAUAUAUUAUUCUCAAAUCUGGAAAUUUUUUGCGUAUCUGCUUCCAAAAUAAUAUUUCCACCAAGUCAUUCUGUCUUUCUUUUUCUUUCUAACAUUCUAAGAUUUCCUUGUUGUCUUUGACUAUAUUCUUUGCAAUUAACUUUUUUCUUAUACAUUUUAUGCAGUAUUUUUCUCUCAUCCUCAUAUUUUUCAGCAAUCAAAUUUAUAUGCAUGCUUUUUCAUAAUUCCCAGUAGGGUAACUACAUUUUUUUUUUACCAACAAUCAGAAUAGGCCUGGUAUUUUAUUUCAUUAUAAAAGCAUACACUUCUGUGAACCGCAACUAAUCAGAUGCAUAUAAAAUUGCUUAUGCUUUACUGCAAUGGCUUAUGCUUGGUUUACAGUACGGUACCGUAGGCUACCAUUGCAAUCCUCCUACAAUGAUCACUCUGUAACAUAAUUCUCCCUGUUCCAACAUCCUUUUUCUAUAUACCCACUUUCUAUUCUCAUUCUCAUUUCUAUAUACCCACUUUCUAUUCUCAUUCUCAGUUCCCACAUCCUUUUUCUAUAUACCCACUUUCUAUUCUCAUUGUGUUGGGAAAUUAAAUACAGUAUAUUUUAACAUUUUCUCAUAUAGGACCCAUGCAUUUUCAUACUUUUUUCCUGCAGUUAUUCUACUGUGACUUCAUGUGCUUCAUACUCUCUGUUUCCUUUUCUUCUUACCUCUCAUCACUUUUGUAUCCAUCUCUAAGUCUUACAGCUUUUGCUAUAUACAAGGGAAUAAUCCUUUCAGAUCUAUAUUCAUUCCUUUCCCAUGUGUAGGUAAUGGGAACACCAUUCUUGUUCAGUCUUGGAUCUUCAAAUGGCUCAGUCACUUUUUCCAUAUUCUCGUGUCUCAUCUUUUCAUGAGUUACAAACUACAGAAUUCUUUUUUCCAUGGAUCUCAUGCUUUUGAGAAUGUUGCAGUUUUCCCCAAAAUCUCAUGUAUGGUUUCUUCUAUAACUGCCAUUCACUGGAGCAUAACACCAACUCAUAAAUUCCAAUUUUUAUAUUUACCUAUUUUCCCUCAGGGACGCGGUGGUUCAGUGGUUAAGUCACUGAGCUUGUCGAUUGAAAGUUUGGCAGUUCUGCAGUUCGAAUCCCUAAUGCCAUGUAACGGGGUGAGCUCCCGUUCCUUGUCCCAGCUUACUAUCUCACCAGCACUGGCAGAAGAGUUGCAGGCCCUUCAGCCAAGGAAUUUAAAAUGGCAGGGUCCAGGCUGGCUCCUGCCAUUUGGAAGAUUUUACCCCCUGAGGUGAGAUUGGUUUCCAUCCUCCUGACCUUCUGUAGAGCUUGAAAACCUGGCUCUGCCAGAUGGCCUGAGGCCCUAAUGGGAGAGCAUCACAUUUGAGGUGGUUGAUGAAUUAAGAGGCAAACCCACCUCCCCCCUGCACAUCCAGUUCCCUCCCUCCUCAUUUUUUAAUUAUGAUUUUAUCUGCAUUGGGGCAUCUAUUUUUAUUGUUUCAGAGACAUUUAUAUGUUAUGACUUUAAUUUUUUAGGCCGGGUGCCGGCAACCCUCAGCUCCGGAGCGGCAUGCAGCUCUUUUGUCCCCCUGCUGUGGCUCCUUGUCAGCUGAACCCACCACUGGCUGGCCCUGCCCUUUGCCUUCCCCUCCCAGUCACUCCUCGCCUGAUCUGAGAAGGUAAGGGUGAUGGCAGGGAAUAGAGACUCACUCCAUAUUUCAGAGCGGGAGUGAAUUGCUCCUGUAAAUGCCUUAUCUCGCAGGUGCUUCUUCUGGCCCUUAUUGGUGUUGCGCGCACCUUGGUCGCUUGGAGAGACACGCAACUUGCUCUCAGCCCCAAGACACUGGCCCAGCCUGGCUGCAGCCGAUGUUCCACAUCAGACACACACACAGAGAGAUACCUGUUUCCCACAGAAAAGAAAAUACCAGGAGCCACAAAACCUGGGUAGGCGUGGCUAGGGGGGUGUCAUGUAACUGGGUGGGAGUGAGUAACAUCGAGUUGGCCAUGUCCAUCAAGGUUUUGUGGGUCCUGAUGUUUUCUUUUCUGUGGGAAACGGGUCCAAAUGGCUCUUUGAGUGUUUAAGAUUUCAGACCCCUGUUUUAAUCUGAAAGUCACUGUUUGUUAAGAGAGGGAUGGCAAAUAAAUUUAACAAAUAAUAAAUUUAAUAAAUAAAUAACAUACCAGUUCAUUAAGUGACUGUUUGAAGUUACAAUAGUACUCAAAAGAGUUAUUUAUGACCGUUUUUCACAUUUAUGACCGUUGCAGCAUCCUUGGCAGCUUGAUUCAUAUUUAUGACAAUUACAAUGCCCCAGGAAUAUGUGAUCACUUUUUGUGACCUUCUGACAAGCAAAGUCAAUGGGGAAGCCAGUUUCACUUAACAAUUGCACUGAUUCAUUUAACAACUGCAACAAGAAAGAUUGUAAAAGGAGGCAAAACUCACUUAACAAAUAUCUCAUUAGCAACAGAAAUGUUGAGCUCAAUUGUGGUCAGAAGUUGAGGACUAGCUUAUCUUAGAUUUCACAAGGUUGAAGUACAGGGAGUGUACAGUUUUAUUGUUGAAUCAGGUGAUGAAUAUCCUCAAAUAUUCCCUGUUGGUCAAGGAACUUCAGAGCCUUCUCUGUCACAGCAUCUGCCAUCUGGAACAUCAUAACCCCAGAGAAAUAAUAGGUGAAACUUUUGAAUUAGAUCCUAAAAUAUUCCUCCUGGGAAUUCUGAAGACGGAAAUGGGAAAAAAGAAGAAAUACCUAGCAGUGCAUAUAACAACAGCAGCAAGAAUCUCUUUUGCUCAACAAUGGAAAGAGAAAAAAAUACCAACUAAGGAACAAGUAAUCGGUAAAAUAAUGGAAUGUGCCGAGAUGAAUAAGUUAACGUUGGAAAUCAAUGACAGAGAAGAUACUGAUUAUUAUAGCGUGUGGGACAAGUGGUACGGGUGGUUAGAGAAGAGGAAAAUGAAAUAAAAAAAAAUGAAAGAGACCAGAUUGAGUACAAGAAAUAGUUAAAUGAUAUAGUAAGAGAAGAUGUACCGCAGAUUGUAGAAAGUAAAAUGAAGUAAGGAAAAGUUACAUGGGUAAGCAAAAGAUAUGACUUAUGUAUUUAUUAAUUUACCUUUAAAGACCCAUUAUAUAUAUAUACAUUAAGAAUGAUAUAAGUACAUACUUAUAUACCAUGUAAUUGAGUAGCAAAGAUUAUCUAUAUGUACAUACAUCUGUAUUCUUAUUUAUUUCCUUUUCCUAUACUAUGUAACCGGAUGGACAAAAACUGUAUUAUUAUAAUUUCUUAACAAUAAAAUAUAUUAAAAAAAAAAAAAAAGAACUGUCUUGGAUAUUUUGAAAUAUUUGGAAUAACAUAAUAAAAAAUAAGCCAUAUUGAUCUUUUUAGAUGCCUUUGACAAUUUGAGCCAGUCUUUACUGUUUUUUGAAGCAUGGAGUAAAUAAAAAUACUGUGCAGUAUUAGAAUUUUCUCAACGGGAAUGUAAAAUAAAAUCAGGAGAUUUCACAAUAGAAGAAUAUAUUUGUCAAUGGUUUUCUUAUAUACCAAUUAUCAGGUUUAAAGAAGAUAAAAUAUUUUAUGGUUUUGAACAAUGUAAGACUGAGUUUAUAAUACAAUUACAACAGGCACUAUAAAUACCACACAAAGAACAGCACACACUCUGCUAGAGAGAAGUUCCCUGAAGGUGGGCUCCAGGCCUCCAGCACGAGUCUGAAAGCUUGGAAGACAAAACCUCUGGUCCUGGUGACUGACUCAGAUUGGACCCUGCAACAUUAUCCUGGGAUAUGUAUAUUCACCUUCAUUCGUAUAACAGAAUUGUGUACUAAUGAUGAACAUGUAACUCCUAGCAGGUAUAAACUUUUGCUGAAAUAUGAGACAGAAGAAGAAG